RNAcentral lists this long non-coding RNA (1245 nucleotides) under Scophthalmus maximus (turbot). Its description in RNAcentral is "lncRNA (ENSSMAG00000031441.1)". The record is from RNAcentral. Lineage: Eukaryota; Metazoa; Chordata; Actinopteri; Pleuronectiformes; Scophthalmidae.
ACACCAAAACAAAUUCCUGGUAUGUAACCUGUUACUACCAAGGCAAUAAAACCGAUUCUGAUUUGGAAUGUGGAAGAAGUUAGAAGCCAAAGUGAUCAGCUGGUGGGGAACAGAUCCAUAUGCAUUUGCUGGAUCUAGCCUAACUACAUGGAGGUCUGAUUUCAUGCGUUUGGCUGGAUUUGCUUUGAGAUCAUAGUGAAGUGCUUGGCAGAACCCCGGCACCCCUUCUUUCUGGCAGCUUGUGUCGAUAUUGUUGUUGGCAAGGAGGUAGCUGGUGAUGCUUUUUGCCUCUACUGCAAAGAAAAUCUUCCCUUCCAUGUUGAAAAGGGCAUUUUCUCUAAACUAGGAGAUGUUGUUGAAAUCUAUUACUUUUAGGAUGGACAUGUUGACAGCUCUAUUCCAUGCCACUAGGAUAGAUUGGUGUAUGAGGCAAAGCUGUCUUGUUGUUUUUCUUGUAGUUCUUUAUAGUAUUUCCCUGACAUUUAUAGUUAUCAUGUGUCAUCAUGAUUAAAGAAAUACAAAUUGUAAUGGAGGAAACAUGUAAGUUACCGUCGCUUUAAGAGAGUGCACUGUUACAUAUUCCAGGCAGUCAUAGACUGUACAUAAACAUGGACGUAGCGUCUGUGACAUCACCCAUUGGUUUCUGCAGGCCGGUUUUGAAACCCAAUGUGGGAGGUUAGCCGUCGCCAUCUUGGCAGGGCCUAACUCCUCCUUUACCCGGCUAAUCCAAAUAUAGACAAAGAAGUGGGCCGAAUGCAGACCGGUCGCUGAAACACGCCCAUCCACAUCCAGUGCGAUCUGGCUAGUGCCGCGGCCCUGAGGCUGCACCGGGUCGGUAUUGACUGUGGUAACAUGAGCUCUGGUACCAGUCUUCCCAGCCAACGCUAUAUGUGUCACAAUGUGGAUGUGGUGAUGAGUUUGUCCGUCGAGGUGUCCAGAGAGCUGCAGACCUUGGCGUGCUGUGUUUGGCUUGUGGACUGGGGUGGAAAAGCCUUCUUCCACUCUGUUUCCACACCGUGAGGAAGAGCAGCAGCUGACGUCCUCAUCAUCCACUGUGGUGACGACAAUCUAAGGGGGGGUCAGUAGCAUCAGGCUGGUCAACAUGAGGAGAACCUGCAGCAGACUUACCUCCAGCACCUUGGGAAGGUGACCAGUAACUGCCACAGUUGGUAGUGUCACUGCUAUUGAAUUUGGCCUUCAGGACACACUUCGUUAAGCCUAAACAUGUCCCUGACUUUCAUGGAC